RNAcentral lists this ribosomal RNA (440 nucleotides) under uncultured bacterium. RNAcentral's name for it is "partial 16S ribosomal RNA". It matches the Rfam family "Bacterial small subunit ribosomal RNA", at positions 338 to 795 of the family's 1533-position model. The record is from RNAcentral.
CCUACGGGAGACAGCAGUGGGGGAUAUUGCACAAUGGGGGGAACCCUGAUGCAGCGACGCCGCGUGGGUGAAGAAGCGCCUCGGCGCGUAAAGCCCUGUCAGCAGGGAAGAAAAUGACGGUACCUGAAGAAGAAGCCCCGGCUAACUACGUGCCAGCAGCCGCGGUAAUACGGAGGGGGCAAGCGUUAUCCGGAUUUACUGGGGGUAAGGGGGGCGCAGACGGCGAUGCAAGCCAGUAGUGAAAGCCCGGGGCCCAACCCCGGGACUGCUCUUGGAACUGCGUGGCUGGAGUGCAGGAGGGGCAGGCGGAAUUCCUGGUGUAGCGGUGAAAUGCGUAGAUAUCAGGAGGAACACCGGUGGCGAAGGCGGCCUGCUGGACUGCAACUGACGUUGAGGCCCGAAAGCGUGGGGAGCAAACAGGAUUAGAUACCCCGGUAGUC